AGAGGGAUUGCUGGGUCAAAUGGUGGUUUAAUACCCAGAUUUCCAAGGAAUCUUCACACUGCUUUCCAAAUUGGCUGCACCAGUUUGCAGUCCCACCAGUAAU
This 103-nucleotide microRNA precursor is filed under the name Marmota monax (woodchuck). Lineage: Eukaryota; Metazoa; Chordata; Mammalia; Rodentia; Sciuridae. The record is from RNAcentral.